GAUGAACGCUGGCGGCGUGCCUAAUACAUGCAAGUCGAGCGAACGGACGAGAAGCUUGCUUCUCUGAUGUUAGCGGCGGAAGGGUGAGUAACACGUGGAUAACCUACCUAUAAGACUGGGAUAACUUCGGGAAACCGGAGCUAAUACCGGAUAAUAUUUUGAACCGCAUGGUUCAAAAGUGAAAGACGGUCUUGAUGUCACUUAUAGAUGGAUCCGCGCUGCAUUAGAUAGUUGGUAAGGUAACGGCUUACCAAGGCAACGAUGCAUAGCCGACCUGAGAGAGUGAUCGGCCACACUGGAACUGUGACACGGUCCAGACUCCUACGGGAGGCAGCAGUAGGGAAUCUUCCGCAAUGGGCGAAAGCCUGACGGAGCAACGCCGCGUGAGUGAUGAAGGUCUUCGGAUCGUAAAACGCUGUUAUUAGGGAAGAACAUAUGUGUAAGUAACUGUGCACAUCUUGACGGUACCUAAUCAGAAAGCCACGGCUAACUACGUG
RNAcentral lists this ribosomal RNA (497 nucleotides) under uncultured bacterium. RNAcentral's name for it is "partial 16S ribosomal RNA". It matches the Rfam family "Bacterial small subunit ribosomal RNA", at positions 28 to 507 of the family's 1533-position model. The record is from RNAcentral.